This 206-nucleotide long non-coding RNA is filed under the name Lupinus angustifolius (narrow-leaved blue lupine). RNAcentral's name for it is "long non-coding RNA (LANG_LNC003192)". The record is from RNAcentral. Lineage: Eukaryota; Viridiplantae; Streptophyta; Magnoliopsida; Fabales; Fabaceae.
AACCACAAUAUUGUGGCCGCAUGUAGUUUUCAUUUUGAAUCACUAUAUUGAACUAAUCAACAAAUGUUUAUGACAUGGCAGUGCCUGUGGAUAACAUUUGACCAAUUGUUCUGUAUAAGUUUUUAAGAAGGGAAUGAUGAAAUCAUUUUUCACCAUUUCCUUCCCAAUUGUUUGAUAAUAGGAAACAAAGGGAGAACAAGAUGGCC